Long non-coding RNA from Peromyscus leucopus (white-footed mouse), 1336 nucleotides. RefSeq lists it as uncharacterized. The record is from RefSeq and is a predicted model, not a curated record. The transcript has 2 exons. NCBI's taxonomy places the organism in Eukaryota, Metazoa, Chordata, Mammalia, Rodentia, Cricetidae.
GCAGUGUGCCAUUCUAUAAGCUCGUGUGUUACAGAUUCCUUUCACGAAGUCAGUUUUAAAAUAAUUACAUUUGUAUUUAACUAGUUCAUUGAAAGAAAUCUGAAGCAGAGAAAUGUCAGGUUGAUGUAAUACUCCACUGUCCUCACCACACACACACACACACACACACACACACACACACACACCAGAAACUUCCUGGACCACAAUACUAUCUAUUCAUAGGUAUUUCCAUUUUUACAUUACAGCUUGGUAGCAGUUCAGCACACAUUAUUGCCAGGGCAGGCCAUAGCAUCUGUGGCCUCACCCAUUCCAUGCACAAAAGAAUGGAAAGCUGAGGGUGCCGCCCAGAGGAAUGUCCCCCUGGUCACCAGGACACAAAUGCGGCUUCGACUCAUACGGCUCCCGCCUCUUCUGCCCACAGCUCCUGCUGCUUCCCUUUGUUCUCUCCAUGAACCGCCCUCAGAAAGAGUUCAGCUGCCCUCUGCAGCAUGGUCAGGGUUCUGCCCGACACGCAGAAUGCCAGCCCCGAACCCCAGGGGAGGGGACAGGCUCCGUGAAAGGCUGGAUAGCAGUUAUUUAAACAGAACGAGUCAGAAAUCUGAUUCAGGCCUAGAAGGCAGUCCAAAAUUAAGAAGACACCCUCACUCUAUGGAUCUGACAGGGAAUUCUGUGAAAAGAAAACAUCUGUCUGGAUUGGGCCGAACACUGCAGAAAACAGACCUGACGCCCACAGUACGUUGGUAGUGUUUAAAAAUGAGAGAUUUUCUUUAUCGUGGUGUAUGAAAGACUGAGAGGCCAUUUACCCAAUUUUCCCUCCAGCCUUUGUACCUCAUAUGCUGAGACAAUGAAGCCAGAUUAAAACAGCCACAGCCACCAAAUGACAGACGCAUGGGAAACAAGUAACAGCACCCACGACGAAAGGCACUUUUAAUACCGCUGCUUUAGAAAACUGGCUAUUUCAAAUAUUCUGCUGAUGUUGAAGACUGCUAAAACUAAAAUGUUUAAACACAGAAAAAUUCAGUAAUCAUCCUUAAGGAAAUACCUUGGGGUAGUAUACGGUCCUUUCAUUGUUAAAAUAAUUUAGAACUGUAUAAUGGGGUUGAUAUUAAAUGCAACAUAUGUUUAAGCCUUAAAAACUAAAAUGACUGCCAAUAAAUUCAGUGCUUGGAAUCUCACACACGGUACGCUUGAUGAACACAAUUUCCAUUUGGCCCAAUUCAAUAACUAAUAUUAGGCACUACUACAUGCAAGGCACUGUGGGUAAUUUCAAUGCAGGCCAGGGACCAAUGCUACCUAUACUGAUAUCUCAAGAUUUCAAAAUUAAAAAAAAAAAAAA